GGACUACUAGGGUUUCUAAUCCUGUUUGCUCCCCACGCUUUCGCGUCUUAGCGUCAGUAUCGAUCCAGAGAACCGCUUUCGCCGCCGGUGUUCCUCCCAAUAUCUACGAAUUUCACCUCUACACUGGGAAUUCCGUCCUCCUCUCUCGUACUCAAGCCCAUCAGUUUCAGGCGCACUUCCUCGGUUAGGCCGAGGGAUUUCACACCUGACAUAAUGAGCCGCCUACACGCGCUUUACGCCCAGUAAUUCCGAACAACGCUUGCACCCCACGUAUUACCGCGGCUGCUGGCAC
Molecule: ribosomal RNA, 292 nt
Filed under: uncultured bacterium
Lineage: Bacteria
Description: partial 16S ribosomal RNA
Source: RNAcentral